CCCGUCUGAAACGCCAAUGAACAAAAGUAGACGAAUUGGGUAAAAGCGCUAUUUGCGCGACGAAGCUACGGUGCGAGGAGAAAUUGGUCAGUUUUGGCCAGAACUCGCUUGAGUGUGUAUCAUAUUUAUUCCUUCGUGGUGGACCUGAGUUAAAUUUAACAGAAAAUACACUAAAUGGACUAGAAACAUCAAAAGAACAUCGAAUAACGUAAUACAAGAAGAUUCAAAUCAAGAGAAACAUAAAAGAACAGCAGUUAAAUAUUAAAUCACACAAAAAGAAUUAUCACAUGGCUUUGAAGAAGCGAUGCACACUCUAAGACUCAGGCUCCACCACGACAUUGUGGGUUCCCAAAAAUAAUUGUGGGUUUACCCAUAUAAUAUAUUGCAUAUUUGAACAUAUUAGAACAAUGAACAUAGACCAUUGCCUAGGAAUUCAACUCACACAGCAGCACUUCCACCCAGCAGUUAACCUGUCUUUCAUGGUACCCAGAAGAUAUGCUUAAGUGGACGCAUAUCUCUUGUUGCCUGAAAUAGCUGUUGAUUGGAAAAGAUAAGAUUGUUUUCUUUUCUUUAAUUACAUCUACUUGUGUGAGCUUAAUUAUAUGUGCAUAUAAUCAAGCAAAACUAUAUAGAAUUAUCUUUAUAAACAGGGGGGUUUGUUUUUGGUUUUUCUUUAAUAAUGUAAUGGUAAAUAAUAAGUCACUAAGUCAGUUUUAAAAUAAUUAAGGGUUAUCAAAAUUUAGAUAGAGGGUUUUUGUUUGAGAAAAGUAAAAGUAUAGGGUUUUCACUAGUAUGUAAAAAAAGAGAUUCUGGCCGAGCUCACUUAUCUACAUAACAAAUUAUAAAGUUUCUCAUUUAAAGCAAUACUUAUUUGCUACUUUAAGUAGAUUUUGUUGUUAUUCAUCAGGGUGAAUACUUCACCUCCAUUUUAAUUUCUGCUAGGUAAAGCAGUUAUUUGUGUUAACCGUAACGGUUUUAUUCUUCUUUUUCUGUGCUUUACCUAGACGAGGAUAUUUAAAGUUAAUUAACUAACCGUAGUGUUAAGACUUAUGCUAUUCACAUGGACUUAUGAUUAGUUAUCUCUACUAACCUUUGCUUUGCCAGUAGUGAUGUUUCAUUUUUGAUAGCGGCUUUUAGGUCCUCUUUACUACCUACGCAUCACUACUGUUCCAGUUUUAUGUAUAUUUGUAUCAACUCGUUCUACGUUGUUGAAUAAAGAUUAUAGAUUAUAUAUUUGUUAAUAUAUUUGUCGUUACUA
Long non-coding RNA from Diabrotica virgifera virgifera (western corn rootworm), 1258 nucleotides. RefSeq lists it as uncharacterized. NCBI's taxonomy places the organism in Eukaryota, Metazoa, Arthropoda, Insecta, Coleoptera, Chrysomelidae. The transcript has 2 exons. The record is from RefSeq and is a predicted model, not a curated record.